RNAcentral lists this ribosomal RNA (528 nucleotides) under Triticum aestivum (bread wheat). Its description in RNAcentral is "partial small subunit ribosomal RNA". The record is from RNAcentral. Lineage: Eukaryota; Viridiplantae; Streptophyta; Magnoliopsida; Poales; Poaceae.
AUGCCGCCUAGCUUCCGCCCCUAUCCUCUCCCCCAAAUCCGUCGACCUGGUCGCCCACCAUCUCCUCCUCACCUCAUCAGAAGAGAAGAGGGAGAUCGAUCAGAGAUGACCGGUGGUGCAGCCUUCCCGAUUGUGGAGCGAAUCCUACAUGUGUGCAACCAUCUCCAGUCGCCACCCUCCCUUUCAAGGUCGCUAACCUCACGAAAAAAGUGCACGAUGGCAGAGGGGAGGUCGACGGAAUCAGUUGAAGGUCAUGGAUGGAUCCAGCCGCUCCGAUUCGGGCCCCGGUCACUAGCAGAAGGAGGUCAAUGGGAUCGAUCGAAGGUCAUGGCUCGAUCCAGUGGCGCGCGAUGCGGGGAUCGCCCGGUUGAAGGUCGCGAUCAGUUUGCGAGGGAAAUCCAGCCAAGCAACGACUGCGGCGGCGGCGGCGGCGGCAACUAUUCUCUGGCGCUGCGCUACGGCUGGCAGCCUCAUGUUCCACAUCAAGCAAGAUCUCUUCGUGUGAAGCCUCCUCUCCUUCCUGCAUAG